Long non-coding RNA from Actinia tenebrosa (Australian red waratah sea anemone), 411 nucleotides. RefSeq lists it as uncharacterized. The record is from RefSeq and is a predicted model, not a curated record. Lineage: Eukaryota; Metazoa; Cnidaria; Anthozoa; Actiniaria; Actiniidae.
UGAAACUAAACAGAAAUAAGUUUAAGGGUUUGGUGAUAAUUGGGGGGGGGGAAAGGGUUGGAGGGUUAUCAUGUUGUUUUACCCUCAGUAAAUCCCAACAUGCUAAAUUCCAAUCAGUGAUACAGUCUUAACAGGCUUUGCCGAGGGAAAAAAACUUGGGAAAAGUCAGUGGAAAAUAAGUCUGCUCACAUGGAAUGUCUAUUCGGGAGACCAGAUACAGCAGUGAGAGAGUACUCCUCAAUCAUCGUUACCUUGAUACAAGUCACAAUAUCCUCAUGGCUGAUGGUGGAUCUGACGUUGUCUCCAGUAUUGACAUCCCAUAAUUCAACCUUACCACCCUCUAAAAAAGAACAUGUUUGUUAGUCAUUUGAUGAUGGCAACAGCAGCAGCAGCAACAGCAACAACCACAAA